GGCAUGGAAGAAGAGGAGUCCUCUGAGAAGGAACUCCAUGCCAAAUUUAUUUGGGACAUCCCCUCUUUUUGUGCAUUGAAAUAGAAGAGUCCAUUUCAUAUCAAACUCUUAAAUUCUUUUUAUUUCUCCAUGCAUUUUUUAAUUUCUCAUGUCAUGGGAUGGCCCUUGGGAUUGUGGGCACAGAAGAGAAGGAAGAGUCCUUCU
RNAcentral lists this long non-coding RNA (204 nucleotides) under Elaeis guineensis (African oil palm). RNAcentral describes it as "long non-coding RNA (EGUI_LNC029827)". The record is from RNAcentral. Lineage: Eukaryota; Viridiplantae; Streptophyta; Magnoliopsida; Arecales; Arecaceae.